UGUUGAUAAAGGCAAGCCUCCGAAAGUUGGGGACGCAAAGCCACGAGUUUAAUGUUUUACGAUGGCAGUCGGUUCUCAUC
RNAcentral lists this non-coding RNA (80 nucleotides) under Desulfosporosinus sp. Its description in RNAcentral is "c-di-GMP sequence". It matches the Rfam family "c-di-GMP-I riboswitch aptamer". From Rfam's summary of the family: GEMM was predicted in a large-scale screen for bacterial structured RNA regulatory elements. Genes associated with GEMM are involved in a diverse array of functions, including chemotaxis regulation, signal transduction, secretion and chitin. RNAcentral also lists the same sequence under 1 other name. Lineage: Bacteria; Bacillati; Bacillota; Clostridia; Eubacteriales; Desulfitobacteriaceae. The record is from RNAcentral.